GGGUCAGGAGGUUGGUCGUGCCACCGGUACGUACUGGUCUCACUGAUUCCUCCUUCCUGAAGAACCGUAAUGCCAUUAAUUUGGUGUUGCGGGGAAACAGGACUGUUACUUUGAAAAAAUUAGAGUGUUUAAAGCAAUCUAACGCUUGAAUACAUUAGCAUGGAAUAAUGAAAUAGGACGAUCGAUCCUAUUUUGUUGGUUUCUAGGAUUGACGUA
Molecule: ribosomal RNA, 216 nt
Filed under: Glomeromycotina sp.
Lineage: Eukaryota; Fungi; Glomeromycota
Description: partial small subunit ribosomal RNA
Rfam family: Eukaryotic small subunit ribosomal RNA (bases 40-216)
Source: RNAcentral